ACGAAUCGGCACGAAUGGCGCGCUGACGCGAGCGGCAUUUCUUCAGUAGAUGCGGAACUGUUUGAGAGGACGCAGAGAAAAAUUAGUGUGGGUGAAGUAACAUAAAUAGCGGAACAGCGGGGCUACCCUUUACAAGUACCAUCAUCGGCCACCGGCACUUGUCUCCGCAGCAUUAUGGAUAGCUUACGCUAAUGCAUCCGCUCUUUCAGUGUGAAUCUAUAAACCCGCGGUAGACCCGUUUCAUGGUGAACAGAUAACGACGGUUUUCUUGGCAAAAACCGGCACCUUUCAUGUUCCACGACUCGAGGCACUCAUCCUGGUCAGCGGGGACAUUGCAUUACGCCGGGUUUUAGGCAAUUUGACAGAGUGAACUAGAGGGGAAGGCUGUCUUUUAUUAUGACUGAAAUCGAUUCGUCAGAGUGACCUUUUUCUUCCUAGACUUCUAUCAGUCGAAUAAGAAAGCUGUACCUUCCGUGUUGACGAAAAUUCGAAAAUCGAAGCUACAAUCCGUUAAACUUCACCGGUUGCGACUCAUGACAUUGGCGCGGCGGGUCGCAAGAUGAACCGAGACAACUGGGAAUAACACAUACCUGAUUCAAAACAGGAGAAAAAAUGUGGUUGGAAAGUUGACAUCCAAGAUGUGUUCAUAAACAACGCAGCCAUAUUCGCAAAAGACAUUUCCGAGAAUCGAUAUUUCGCCCGAUUAUAGAUCGCGAAUUCAAAUCGAAUGAUUGGGCGUGAGGUUUUGGAAACUCUUAAGACAAUCGACUUUGGAAAAGUUCCACACACCCUCUCAGAGUUGUGGAACGUAACUGAGUUAGGCCCAAGAAGAUGAUUCUCGGCUCUUGAAGAAUCAGUGCAGCGUCCGUCGCGUCAAUUUCACAGCUCGUGCGUUGAUUGGUGGCCGUGGCCGCCCUCACGCAUCGUCGCACCGCCUACGUGAACUCGAUUGGCUGGGUUUCACGAUGCCAGGGGAGGCAAGGGGAAUCUCGGAAUCAGAAACGUCGCCAAAGUCACGUGUGGCGCGUGUAUAUAAUACGCAGGCGACGAAACAUAACACUUUGACAAACGCAGAGAAAGAGGAAAAAAGAGAGAAGAACGAGAGAAAUGAUACCAGAGAAGGCGUCACCGAUUUCGACGGCUGUAAGUCGUCGUUAAAAAUUGACAAGUAUCAAAUGACUUCGUCGAGAUCGUUAUCGCCAUUUCCAUCAGACACCGACCCCUGCACGGAUUUGUAUCGCGUGUUCACGCGGUCUCGUCAUACGUUCCCGUUAUGAGUAUCGUAUGCGAGACAGAGAACAUGGAAUUGUCACCAGAAAUUACAGAAUCCGGCGACAGACGGACGAUCGUUAAUAGUUUGUUCUCGAGGCCACGGGGAAAAGACAGUAAAAUUACACAGAUACUCUCAAUAAAAUUCUUCAUGUAAUUACCAGCGAUAAAGUUUUACUUAGGAACUUGUUAAAAUUUUGAAUUGUUUAUUAUACAAUAAGAAAUAAAUUAACAUAUUUC
Pogonomyrmex barbatus (red harvester ant) is the source of this 1509-nucleotide long non-coding RNA. RefSeq lists it as uncharacterized. NCBI's taxonomy places the organism in Eukaryota, Metazoa, Arthropoda, Insecta, Hymenoptera, Formicidae. The record is from RefSeq and is a predicted model, not a curated record.